GAGAGUAGUGGACAGAAGGGAUUU
RNAcentral lists this non-coding RNA (24 nucleotides) under Cricetulus griseus (Chinese hamster). Lineage: Eukaryota; Metazoa; Chordata; Mammalia; Rodentia; Cricetidae. The record is from RNAcentral.